GGCGCCGCCGAGCCUUGCUCGCCGGGGCUGCGUGCCGCCAUAGCUGGCGCGCAUCCCCGUCGAGCGUUGCUCGACGGUGCC
This 81-nucleotide microRNA precursor is filed under the name Oryza sativa (Asian cultivated rice). RNAcentral's name for it is "miR531 stem-loop (osa-MIR531a, osa-MIR531c)". Its record names the gene osa-MIR531a. The stretch from base 8 to 76 matches the Rfam family "MIR531 microRNA precursor family". The record is from miRBase by way of RNAcentral. Lineage: Eukaryota; Viridiplantae; Streptophyta; Magnoliopsida; Poales; Poaceae. RNAcentral also lists the same sequence under 1 other name.